Molecule: ribosomal RNA, 508 nt
Filed under: uncultured bacterium
Lineage: Bacteria
Description: partial 16S ribosomal RNA
Rfam family: Bacterial small subunit ribosomal RNA
Source: RNAcentral
ACUCAAAGGAAUUGACGGGGGCCUGCACAAGCGGUGGAGUAUGUGGCUUAAUUCGAUGCAACGCGAAGAACCUUACCUGGCCUUGACAUGUAGGUAGUAAAAGCCUGAAAGGGUGAUGACCCCGCAAGGGGGGCCUACACAGGUGCUGCAUGGCUGUCGUCAGCUCGUGUCGUGAGAUGUUGGGUUAAGUCCCGCAACGAGCGCAACCCUUGCGUCCUGUUGCCACCCGAUCGAGAGAUCGGAGCACUCUGGACGGACUGCCUCGCUUAAACGGGGAGGAAGGUGGGGAUGACGUCAAGUCAGGAUGGCCCUUACGGCCAGGGCUGCACACGUACUACAAUGCCCGGCACAAAGGGAUGCAAUACCGUAAGGUGGAGCAAAUCUCAUAAAACCGGGCCCAGUUCAGAUUGCCGUCUGCAACUCGACGGCAUGAAGCUGGAAUCGCUAGUAAUGGCGCAUCAGCUACGGCGCCGUGAAUACGUUCCCAGGCCUUGUACACACCGCCCGU